This is a long non-coding RNA of Tympanuchus pallidicinctus (lesser prairie-chicken), 1586 nucleotides long. RefSeq lists it as uncharacterized. The transcript is spliced from 4 exons. Lineage: Eukaryota; Metazoa; Chordata; Aves; Galliformes; Phasianidae. The record is from RefSeq and is a predicted model, not a curated record.
AAAGGAAGGCAAAAGCCCAACUUGACCUCAGACUGGCCACCGCAGUAAGAAAUAAGAAAUCCUUUUGUAAACUUAUCAGUGGUAAGAGAAGAACCAAGGAGAAUUUCCACCCUUCUCUUGAUGCAACGGGGAAUGUGACCACUGAGGAUAAGCAGAAGGCUGAGGUCCUCAAUGCCUUCUUUACACCUGCCUGUAAAAGGCAGAUCAGUUAUCAUCAGGGCACUUUAUGCCCCAAUCUGCACGUGUGUGUGUUUGCAAGGCUUUGUCCCCAGCAGAAAUAGCACUUUUGCUGGGAGCUGUUUUGCUGCAGGACCAAACAUCUUGCAGGACUGGUGAUGUUUACUAGAUACGCUUCCUAAAGAAUAAGCAUAGGCCAGAAUUUUAGAGGGUAAGAAUUGCAGAAGAAGCAUGGCCGAUAAACGGAAGCUUUGUAGGUGAUUGAGGUCUCAGGAUGAAAUAAGCAUUAAAAAGAAACUAGGGAUGACUUUUUUUUACUCAGAAGGUGGUGAGGUACUGGAACAGGCUGCCUGGAGAAGCUCUGGAUGCCUCUGGUCCUGAUCAUCCUGAUCUAAUGGGUGGCCCAUAGCAAGGGGAUUGGAACUGAAUGGUCUUUAAGUUCCUUUCCAAUUCGAGCCAUUCUAUGAUUCUAUUAUGUUCAGUGUCAGAAUUCAUGCAGUUAGUACUUGCCUAUGUGAAAACAGAGUCUGCACCCUUUCAACAGAGAAGAGAUCUUUUUGUCUGAGAACUAGUGGAAUUAGGGGGAUAGGGGAUAAUUUUAAAAAAUCAUGUUUGAAAUCAUACUUUGGGACACUCCUCACUUUGCCCUCACUUUCUAGAGCAUUUCUGAGCAAAUUGAGUACUUCUCUUCCAUUUCUGCUGCUGCUUUCAAUAAGUCAGGAAGCCAGCACUCUCUUUCCUUGCAAGGGAGGGAUGUAGGACUGACUCAGUUUCUGUGCAGGACACUGAGAAUGAAGAUGCUCUGUAGAUGAUCAUUAGUAAUGUAAGACUGUCCUUUUCCUGGCAAAGCCAUUGGCACUGAGUCUGCUAGGAGUGAAGCAGCACUGUAAUGCCAGGCAGAGCUCCCAUUCCCUUCUUCCCUCCCCACCAUCAUGUGCUCCUCAACAAAUUUUCCACUGUUUACUUAGAAAUCCGUAAAACAAAAGACUGAGGCUGAAGAAGCUCCACCUGGGGAAGUCAAGGUCGAGGAAACCCCUGCUGCUGCUGUUGUGGGAAAGGAGGCCAUCCCUGCUGAGCCAGAUGAGCCAACAGAGAAGGCUGCGGCACCCACUGCAUGUACAGCUGAGUAUGGACCUGGAGGAAAGUGAUUCUGCACAAACUGAUGAGCUUUGUGACCCACCUCUUUGAACAAUCCCCUUACGUGUGUUUCAGCCCAAUGUGUGUGGAAGAAGUGCUCCAGAAAGUUUUCCUGCAAACUGGUGGUGAGUGCUGCAGAUGGGACGGUGGAGUGGAAGACAGUGUGGUGGUGGCAGCAGGAGCUGGUGAGGGUGCUGCUCCCACGGAACAGGAGGCUGCUGCUAGAGGUGACAAACCUCAGGGAGAAGAAAAGGAGAUUGAUGUUUCCCAGG